UGUAUACUCCUUCCGUUUAAAUUUUUUUGUCUUAGGUUUAUCUAGAUAUGAAUGUAUCUAGUCACGUUUUGAUAUUUAGAUACAUUCAUUUAUAGACAAAUCUGAGACAAUAAUUUUGAAACGGAGGGAGUACUAU
Molecule: microRNA precursor, 136 nt
Filed under: Hordeum vulgare
Lineage: Eukaryota; Viridiplantae; Streptophyta; Magnoliopsida; Poales; Poaceae
Description: microRNA MIR1122
Rfam family: MIR1120/MIR1122 microRNA precursor family
Source: RNAcentral